UACGGGGGGGUGCAAGCGUUGCUCGGAAUCACUGGGCGUAAAGCGUCCGCAGGUGGGUGUGUGUGUCGGAUGUGAAAGCCCCAGGGGCUCAACCCUGGAAUGCAUUCGAAACUGCACAUCUUGAGUACGGGAGAGGGGAAGCAGAAUUCCUGGUGUAGAGGUGAAAUUCGUAGAUAUCAGGAGGAAUACCUGUGGCGAAAGCGGCUUCCUGGUCCGAUACUGACACUCAUGGACGAAAGCGCGGGGGAGCAAACAG
Molecule: ribosomal RNA, 256 nt
Filed under: uncultured bacterium
Lineage: Bacteria
Description: partial 16S ribosomal RNA
Rfam family: Bacterial small subunit ribosomal RNA
Source: RNAcentral